Molecule: ribosomal RNA, 330 nt
Filed under: Calamaria septentrionalis (Hong Kong dwarf snake)
Lineage: Eukaryota; Metazoa; Chordata; Lepidosauria; Squamata; Calamariidae
Description: partial 12S ribosomal RNA
Source: RNAcentral
AUUAACCCAACCCUUUCUAGCCAACAGUCUAUAUACCACCGUCGCCAGCUUACCUUAUGAAAGAAAUACAGUGAGCUAAACAAUCAAACAUUAACACGACAGGUCGAGGUGUAACUUAUGAAGGGGAAAAAGAUGGGCUACAUUUUCUAAAACAGAAAAUACGGACAAACUACGAAACAAGAAACUGAAGGCGGAUUUAGCAGUACAUUAAGAAUAAAACACCUAAUAGAAACCAACGCAAUGAGACGCGUACACACCGCCCGUCAUCCCUGCAAACAACAACAUACAUCUAUAAACCUACUACCUACAAACCCAGGGCAAGUCGUAACA